RNAcentral lists this small RNA (446 nucleotides) under Pan troglodytes (chimpanzee). RNAcentral's name for it is "processed transcript". The record is from RNAcentral. Lineage: Eukaryota; Metazoa; Chordata; Mammalia; Primates; Hominidae.
GGUGAUUUCAGAAAGUAUGGAUAUACUCUUCAGAAUAAGAGGAGGCCUUGAUUUGGCUUUUCAGCUAGCUACUCCUAAUGAAAUUUUUCUCAAGAAGGCACUGAAACAUGUGUUGAGUGACCUGUCAACUAAGCUGUCUUCAAACGCCCUUGUGUUCAGAAUUUGCCACAGUUCAGUGUAUAUAUGGCCUAGCAGUGACAUAAACACCAUUCCUGGAGAACUGACUGAUGCUUCUGCUUGUAAGAACAUACUGCGCUUUAUUCAGUGAGUAUGUUUGAAGAUUUCUAGAAAUGUUUUCAAAACAUCAUUUCAUAGUAUAAAUGUCUGUGUAUUAAAAAUUUAGAUUUGAGCCAGAAGAAGAUAUAAAACGAAAAUUCAUGAGAAAGAAGGACAAAAAGUUAUCAGACAUGCUGUAACGCCCAUCAUUGAAAGGGAAAGUGGAGGAC